AGAGUUUGAUCAUGGCUCAGAGCGAACGCUGGCGGCAGGCUUAACACAUGCAAGUCGAGCGGGCGUAGCAAUACGUCAGCGGCAGACGGGUGAGUAACGCGUGGGAACGUACCUUUUGGUUCGGAACAACCCAGGGAAACUUGGGCUAAUACCGGAUAAGCCCUUACGGGGAAAGAUUUAUCGCCGAAAGAUCGGCCCGCGUCUGAUUAGCUAGUUGGUGAGGUAACGGCUCACCAAGGCGACGAUCAGUAGCUGGUCUGAGAGGAUGAUCAGCCACAUUGGGACUGAGACACGGCCCAAACUCCUACGGGAGGCAGCAGUGGGGAAUAUUGGACAAUGGGCGCAAGCCUGAUCCAGCCAUGCCGCGUGAGUGAUGAAGGCCCUAGGGUUGUAAAGCUCUUUUGUGCGGGAAGAUAAUGACGGUACCGCAAGAAUAAGCCCCGGCUAACUUCGUGCCAGCAGCCGCGGUAAUACGAAGGGGGCUAGCGUUGCUCGGAAUCACUGGGCGUAAAGGGUGCGUAGGCGGGUCUUUAAGUCAGGGGUGAAAUCCUGGAGCUCAACUCCAGAACUGCCUUUGAUACUGAGGACCUUGAGUUCGGGAGAGGUGAGUGGAACUGCGAGUGUAGAGGUGAAAUUCGUAGAUAUUCGCAAGAACACCAGUGGCGAAGGCGGCUCACUGGCCCGAUACUGACGCUGAGGCACGAAAGCGUGGGGAGCAAACAGGAUUAGAUACCCUAGUAGUCC
This 744-nucleotide ribosomal RNA is filed under the name uncultured bacterium. RNAcentral's name for it is "bacterial SSU rRNA". It matches the Rfam family "Bacterial small subunit ribosomal RNA", at positions 8 to 796 of the family's 1533-position model. The record is from RNAcentral.